CUGGAAACGAUGGCGAAAGACGGUUGAAGACAUUAUGCUCAUUUUAUUGUGUAGCAUGGAAAAACCAAAACUGACUGGGAAAAAAAAUAUAUUUGACGGAAUUAUUUGCUCGCCAAUUUUGUCAAGUGGCAGUUCACACGACGAGAGUAAAGGUCGACAUUCACCACAGACUGAGAGAAACCUCACUUGCCUGGGCAAGGGGUCUAGAUUUUCUAGAUCUGGGGUCUAGGGUCUAGAUCUUCUGUCUAGAAUCUAAGCAUUUUUCCAAGUACUCCACUUCUAAAGUCAUCUGUCACUGACAAGCAUCGAAUUUGUGGGAAGAAAUUUG
This is a long non-coding RNA of Xenia sp. Carnegie-2017, 328 nucleotides long. RefSeq lists it as uncharacterized. The transcript is spliced from 3 exons. Lineage: Eukaryota; Metazoa; Cnidaria; Anthozoa; Malacalcyonacea; Xeniidae. The record is from RefSeq and is a predicted model, not a curated record.